Molecule: ribosomal RNA, 623 nt
Filed under: uncultured bacterium
Lineage: Bacteria
Description: bacterial SSU rRNA
Rfam family: Bacterial small subunit ribosomal RNA
Source: RNAcentral
UGCCUAACACAUGCAAGUCGAGCGAUUCUCUUCGGAGAAGAGCGGCGGACGGGUGAGUAACGCGUGGGUAACCUGCCCUGUACACACGGAUAACAUACCGAAAGGUAUGCUAAUACGGGAUAACAUAUUUUGAUGGCAUCUUCGAAAUAUCAAAGCUCCGGCGGUACAGGAUGGACCCGCGUCUGAUUAGCUAGUUGGUGAGGUAAUGGCUCACCAAGGCGACGAUCAGUAGCCGACCUGAGAGGGUGAUCGGCCACAUUGGAACUGAGACACGGUCCAAACUCCUACGGGAGGCAGCAGUGGGGAAUAUUGCACAAUGGGCGAAAGCCUGAUGCAGCAACGCCGCGUGAGCGAUGAAGGCCUUCGGGUCGUAAAGCUCUGUCCUCAAGGAAGAUAAUGACGGUACUUGAGGAGGAAGCCCCGGCUAACUACGUGCCAGCAGCCGCGGUAAUACGUAGGGGGCUAGCGUUAUCCGGAAUUACUGGGCGUAAAGGGUGCGUAGGUGGUUUCUUAAGUCAGAGGUGAAAGCUACGGCUCAACCGUAGUAAGCCUUUGAAACUGAGAAACUUGAGUGCAGGAGAGGAGAGUAGAAUUCCUAGUGUAGCGGUGAAAUGCGUAGAUAU